This 441-nucleotide ribosomal RNA is filed under the name uncultured bacterium. RNAcentral describes it as "partial 16S ribosomal RNA". It matches the Rfam family "Bacterial small subunit ribosomal RNA", at positions 338 to 795 of the family's 1533-position model. The record is from RNAcentral.
CCUACGGGUGGCAGCAGUGGGGAAUAUUGCACAAUGGGGGAAACCCUGAUGCAGCAACGCCGCGUGAGUGAGGAAGUAUUUCGGUAUGUAAAGCUCUAUCAGCAGGGAAUAGAAAAGAAGGUACCUGAAAAAGAAGCCCCGGCUAACUACGUGCCAGCAGCCGCGGUAAUACGUAGGGGGCAAGCGUUAUCCGGAUUUACUGGGUGUAAAGGGAGCGUAGACGGAAAGGCAAGUCAGAAGUGAAAUCCUGCGGCUUAACCGCAGAACUGCAUUUGAAACUGUUGAUCUUGAGUACUGGAGAGGCAGACGGAAUUCCUAGUGUAGCGGUGAAAUGCGUAGAUAUUAGGAGGAACACCAGUGGCGAAGGCGGUCUGCUGGACAGCAACUGACGGUGAGGCGCGAAAGCGUGGGGAGCAAACAGGAUUAGAUACCCCAGUAGUC